This is a long non-coding RNA of Numida meleagris (helmeted guineafowl), 1018 nucleotides long. Lineage: Eukaryota; Metazoa; Chordata; Aves; Galliformes; Numididae. The record is from Ensembl.
UGCUCAUAGUUUUCUUUAACAUAUAUUUGUUGACACAUUCUACCAGGUCAGAGAGGCAGCCAUUGGGUGAUCUAUCCCAAAUCUCAUAGAAGCUCCAUGUCCGGAUGAAGAGAAGGUCCCAGACAGAUGGAGCUGCCUCUUGGGAGGUAGAAUUUGCAGUUCUCACCACUGACUGCUCAGGCCAAAACAUCAUUUCUGUCAGAAGAUACCUCGAACUGAAAACAAAAAAACACACAAACAGUCCUGAGGACCAGGAGGACCGUAUGGGACCUAGUGGACACGAGGGCCAAGUGCAUUGUAGUGUGAGUGUGACUGGACAAGGACUUGGUUUAGACCAUCCUCUAGCUCUGCUGUCUUUGCUGUGUAGAUGUAGCCUAACAGAAGAAUAAGACAAAGUAGAUCUACUGAGUCAGUAAUUACACGCAAGAGUGGGGAAAAUGUUAAAUGAUAGUAUUCAUGAGUGAAGAAGGAUAUUGGGCACGAACUUUAGGAUGAUGGUGAUGAUAGUGACAAUGAUGAUGAAGUGGGGUGAGGAAAGAAAAAGACAUAAUAUCCUAUUAGUUCAAAUAAUCUCUUUAAGCUUAAUCUGUUGUUAUUUAUGAUGGGAUAAGUGGCUGAUUGGGAACCAAAACAUGUUUUGGAUUUCUCUGUAUACAAUGCUUCUAUCAUAAACAGUACAGUCUGUGCAAACAUCAUAGCCAUUUGAGUUUUCCUCCCUUUAACAUGCUGUAUCUUUAUCAGUAGAACUAUGUAGAUAAAGAAUCUAUAUCAAGUGAAACUUUAUCUAAAAUAUGGUAUCUGUUUUAUGUCAAAGCUGGCUGAUAUUAUAGCUUUGAUCUUUCAGCUAGGGCAACGAGACCAGGAUUUUUAAUAACUCGUACUGGACAGAGUGAAGCGUCUCUCUGGGAAAACAGGAGGGACAUUGUUAAUCUGUUUCUCAACCACAGUGAGUUAUAGUAGAUCUUUAAUCUGAAGAGGACACGUUCUGGACUGGAAUAAAGCACUCAAGUGCCAGCCA